GAAGUUUAUUAAUUGCCAAGAAAGAAAUAACUUCCAGAAUGCCUCCUCUUCAGCCUUGCCUGUUCACUGGAAUAAUGAAGCUGUAAACAAUAGUGUAAAGAAGUUCCAUCCAGUGAUUGAAGUUCAAUAGAAAACAAAGAAAUAGGCUGAUGUACAUCAAAUAGACCAUCUGUACUCUGAGUCCUUCCCAGGUUCACUAAAGGGGGAAGAGGGGACACAGUUUUAGAUUUAAUUUGUACUGUACCAGAUAUGAAUGUGAUAAUUUUCCAAUGAAUAUUUGUUAAUCUUAUCUAAUUUAAAUAAUUACAUGUUAAAUAAAAUGUGCAGGUGUUAAAUUGACUUCCUCCUGGGACCACUUAGCAUUUAUUUCUUGUUACCUGUAGAAGGACAGAAAGGAAACACAGAAGCCAUGUUUUUACUGAUGGUGCUAGGCAUUGGGAAAGCCCAGGGUAAUAGAAACUUUUUUUUUUUUUUUUUUUUUUAUUAUU
Molecule: long non-coding RNA, 488 nt
Organism: Cebus imitator (Panamanian white-faced capuchin)
Lineage: Eukaryota; Metazoa; Chordata; Mammalia; Primates; Cebidae
Exons: 2
Source: RefSeq, a predicted model, not a curated record